Non-coding RNA from Saimiri boliviensis boliviensis (Bolivian squirrel monkey), 2100 nucleotides. The record is from RefSeq and is a predicted model, not a curated record. NCBI's taxonomy places the organism in Eukaryota, Metazoa, Chordata, Mammalia, Primates, Cebidae.
AAGUUCCAUGAGGGCAGGACUUUCUGUGGCCUCCAGUACCUUGAUAAAUGCUGACAUGCAGUAGUUGUUUAAAUGACGGUGGAAUAAAUGAAGACACAGGUGAUCUCUAUUCACAUGGGCCUCCUGAGAAAUCCUGUUCAGGGUCCCAAGAGUUCUACAAGAUCACGUGUAGCUAGAACAUAUCAGACCUUCUUGCUUUCUUCGUUGAUCUCCUGCAGACCCAAUCUGCGGAUGAGGACGCUGAGGCUGUGUGGGUAUCUGCUUGCCAGAGACAACAGUCGGUGGCAGGCUUGAGCCUGGUUCUGUGGCUGAGAGUUCCAUUUUCUCCAUGGCUACCUCUUCCAGGAUACUACCAUCUCAUGUUCCCUCUUGAUCUUGGACUGCCACCAAGAGUCUGCAUAUUUCAAAAUUGAGAACAAGAAGUUUCAGACCUUAAACUCAGUCCAGUUAGGGGAGGUGGUAUUCUUAGACCUAAACACACAUGGAUCAGAAUGUCAUUUCUUUUAAGGCUGGUCAGCUAGGUUGAAAGCCUCAGUUCCCUAAUUGGAGAAAUAGGUAUACUUCUAAGGUAUAGCCUUGAAAAUGUAAAACAUUCUCCUGUGCAGAUGUGAAUAGUUCUAAGUGUCUUUCUGCCCCCCACACCGUGGUCAGGCCAUAAUUCACUUAUUGAAUGAACAUUAAUAAAAGACUAAAGUUUGAACAAUAGCCAGGGAGCACUUCUUUGCCUUUUUUUUUUUCCCUUCCCUAAUCCCACCUAUGACUAGACACCUUGAGUGACCCUCACCUAUCUCUUUCAAACGGAUUUGGUAAGAAUUUGAUUAAAAUUGUUUAGCAUUAUUUUUAUUUUUUUUUAGAGACAGGGUCUCACUCUGUCAUCCAGGCUACAGUACAGCCGUGCAAUCAUGGCUCAUUGCAGGCUCAACCUCCUAGCUCAAGUGAUCCUCCUGAGUAGCACAAGUAUGUGCUACCAUGCUGGGCUAGUUCUUUAAUGUCUUUGUAGAGACAAGGGUUCACCAUGUUGACCAGGCUGGUCUCGAAUUCCUGGCCUCAAGCCAUCCUCCUCGGCCUCCCAAAGUGCUGGAAUUAUUGGCGUGAUCCAGAACAACUGGCCAAAGUUGUCUAGCAUUCAGCUGCUCUGGAACCCACCCCUGCUUCUCCUUUUCCCCUACUUUCUAAAUAUCCGACCCUGUGUUAAUUGCUUUAUGCUAUUUCAGCCUCAUGACCCUGGAUGGCAGGUGUGGUCCCAUUUUACCCAUGAGGGAGCUGAAGCUCAGAACUGGAACAGUUUGCUAAAGUUCACCCAGUUAAUGACUGGAUUAGGAUUUAGCCCUGCCUUAUUCAGGUUCUGUUCUCAGAUCAUGAUCACACCAGGCAUGGGUGUCUUCAUGUCCAGCACUCUGAACAUGAGCUAGACUGAAGGUGACUUGGAAAGGCCUCAGAGUCUAGAACAGCAGUCUCAAGGGGCAGAGCCACGUGGUGGAGAUUAAUCUGGUUGGUCCAAAGUAGCAGUAGAAAAAUAGAAGGCCUUAUGAAAUAAGCUGGGGUUUCGCAUGAGAAAGUAGGGAGAUUCCGGGCAUCUGAGAUAGAAUUGCAGGUCCUUGCCCUAGUUCUGAUCAUGUUGGCAUCAUCUGUUCCUAUUUGCGAAUUGCUCUAGAAUUGAUGAAGUGCUUUUAGUGCCACUACCUCAGUGGUAUUCCAGUGUUAUUACUGAAGAAAACAGGCAUAAGGAAACCAAUCCCUUCCAGGCCAGCAUUGGAAUAUGGGGGUGCAGGGAGGGGUAUACUCAUGUUUUAUUUUUAUUUAUUUAUUUAUUUUUGAGAUGGAGUCUUGCUCUGUCACCCAGGCUGGAGUGCAGUGGUGCAAUCUGGGCUCACUACAACCUCUGUCUCCCGGGUUCAAGCAAUUCUUGUGCCUCAGCCUCUCGACCUUGAGUAGCUGAGAUUACAGGUAUGCACCACCAUGCCCGGCUAGUUUUUUUAUUUUUUAGUAGAGAUGGGAUUUCACCAUGUUGGCCAGGCUGGUCUGAAACUUCUCACCUCAAAUGAUCUGCCUGCUUUGACCUCCCAAAGUGCUGGGAUUACAGGCAUGAGCCACCAAGCC